This 301-nucleotide ribosomal RNA is filed under the name uncultured bacterium. RNAcentral describes it as "partial 16S ribosomal RNA". It matches the Rfam family "Archaeal small subunit ribosomal RNA", at positions 459 to 760 of the family's 1478-position model. The record is from RNAcentral.
CAGUAGCCGCGGGAACACCAGCACCUCGAGUGGUCAGGAGGUUUAUUGGGCCUAAAGCAUCCGUAGCCGGUUGCAUAAGUUUUCGGUUAAAUCUAUGCGCUUAACGUAUAGGCCGCCGAAAAUACUGUGCAGCUAGGGAGUGGGAGAGGUACACGGUACUCGAUAGGAAGGGGUAAAAUCCUUUGAUCUAUUGAUGACCACCUGUGGCGAAGGCGGUGUACCAGAACACGUUCGACGGUGAGGGAUGAAAGCUGGGGGAGCAAACGGGAUUAGAUACCCCCGUAGUCCCUGUCUCUUAUAC